GGGGGGGGGGGGGCGUCCCUCAGCCUGAAUUGCGAGAGGGUGCAGGCCAGGCCAAGGGACCUCACCAGUGCAUG
RNAcentral lists this microRNA precursor (74 nucleotides) under Myotis brandtii (Brandt's bat). Its description in RNAcentral is "mir-9193 microRNA precursor family". It matches the Rfam family "mir-9193 microRNA precursor family". Lineage: Eukaryota; Metazoa; Chordata; Mammalia; Chiroptera; Vespertilionidae. The record is from Rfam by way of RNAcentral.